RNAcentral lists this ribosomal RNA (448 nucleotides) under uncultured bacterium. RNAcentral describes it as "bacterial SSU rRNA". It matches the Rfam family "Bacterial small subunit ribosomal RNA", at positions 329 to 794 of the family's 1533-position model. The record is from RNAcentral.
UACCAGACUCCUACGGGAGGCAGCAGUGGGGAAUAUUGCACAAUGGGGGAAACCCUGAUGCAGCGACGCCGCGUGAGCGAUGAAGUAUUUCGGUAUGUAAAGCUCUCUCAGCAGGGAAGAAGAUGACGGUACCUGACUAAGAAGCCCCGGCUAACUACGUGCCAGCAGCCGCGGUAAUACGUAGGGGGCGAGCGUUAUCCGGAUUCACUGGGUGUAAAGGGAGCGUAGACGGCCAUGCAAGCCAGGGGUGAAAGCCCGGGGCCCAACCCCGGGACUGCCCUUGGAACUGCAUGGCUGGAGUGCGGGAGGGGCAGGCGGAAUUCCUGGUGUAGCGGUGAAAUGCGUAGAUAUCAGGAGGAACACCGGCGGCGAAGGCGGCCUGCUGGACCGCGACUGACGUUGAGGCUCGAAAGCGUGGGGAGCGAACAGGAUUAGAUACCCUCGUAAU